RNAcentral lists this long non-coding RNA (1277 nucleotides) under Struthio camelus australis. RNAcentral describes it as "lncRNA (ENSSCUG00000006483.1)". The record is from RNAcentral. Lineage: Eukaryota; Metazoa; Chordata; Aves; Struthioniformes; Struthionidae.
CGCAGCCUGCCCGCCGACCUCGGCUCCCUGAGCCUGGUAAACGGGACCUUCUCCGAAGUCAAGGACAGGAUGUUUUCCCACUUGCCCUCCCUGCAGCUGCUCUUGCUGAACUCUAACUCCUUCACUGUUAUCCGAGAUGAUGCCUUUGCUGGUCUCUUCCAUCUGGAAUACUUGUCACCCUUUUUUCUUUUAAAAAAAGUAUUAGCCCUGGUACCAGGUUGUCCUCACUUCAUACUCCAAAGGACUGCCAUUUCUCUGUGUUACCGGAAAUGAGCUGGAAAAACAAUAUUCAUAAAACUGACUCUUGCUAAAGUCUUGCACGCAGGUAGGUAUUAAGAUGGGGUAUAUUCAUGACUAAUACUCUGUGAGGAGCAGCCAACAAUAGGAUUAACAGACUGAGAACAAGUGGCUUUAUGGUGAAUGCUAUAUGCUGAAAUACGUGAUUCAGCUACAUCUGGAUUUUUCAGUGAUAGCAAGAGUUAUCUAACCAUUCUUUUUUUUCCAUGUUCUACCUGUAAAAACAGUAAUUUGAAAAAGGAAAAAAAUCCUGCAAAUAUUCUUAUGUUGUUUCAGUAUUGACUUACUUAAGCUUUCAGGUGCUCAGGAGCCUAAAAGGGAGCUUGUUUCAGUAGCGUAUGCUCCACUGACAGAUGCAUUGCUAACUGUAGCCAGACCCGUAUCUGAAAGAAAAACAUCCUGCCCCUUGUUAGCUGAUCAUAGGGAAAACUUCUUUCCCUGGUUGCUGGCUGCUAGCUGAGGAUCAAAGUUAAGGCUGAUUAAAACCUACAGUUUCAGUCUCCUUUGGUAACAGCCAAAGAAGUGCUCUCAGGUUUAUGGUUGUUGUUGUUCUCCCUGCCAAAGCCACCAAGUACUUCCUCCUGCCAGCGAAUCUGACCUCUGCCGUUUGGGAACCGAGAGCGAGCAGCCUUCUUUCCUUCUCUCUUUUUUCUUUUUUCCCCCUCCGCAUACAGAGAGUAACACCAUUAGAGCUCCAGUAACUCCUGCCUCGCAGUUACCGCUGGUUGGCUCUUACAGACUAAAAAGAAACGCUGCUGACAAGCAAGAGUAAGACGUUUCUUUGUGCACAAAGCAAAGACUCCAGGCGAAGAGCAGCUGGGCAGCAUCCACAGCAUAUACCCGUACAUCCUGUAGCAGCAGCAGCUGUCCCACUGUCACGCCGCACUUAGGGCAGUGCUAGUGGCCUUCAGGACGCCCUUAAGACUAACUAGUUAUGUUUACGGAGUCGGGACGACGGAGCUCCGACAAAGACUGGAGCU